GAUGAACGCUGGCGGCGUGCCUAAUACAUGCAAGUCGAGCGAACAGACGAGGAGCUUGCUCCUCUGACGUUAGCGGCGGACGGGUGAGUAACACGUGGAUAACCUACCUAUAAGACUGGGAUAACUUCGGGAAACCGGAGCUAAUACCGGAUAAUAUAUUGAACCGCAUGGUUCAAUAGUGAAAGACGGUUUUGCUGUCACUUAUAGAUGGAUCCGCGCCGCAUUAGCUAGUUGGUAAGGUAACGGCUUACCAAGGCAACGAUGCGUAGCCGACCUGAGAGGGUGAUCGGCCACACUGUAACUGAGUCACGGUCCAGACUCCUACGGGAGGCAGCAGUAGGGAAUCUUCCGCGAUGGGCGAAAGCCUGACGGAGCAACACCGCGUGAGUGAUGAAGGUCUUCGGAUCGUAAAUCUCUGUUAUUAGGGAAGAACAAAUGUGUAAGUAACUAUGCACGUCUUGACGGUACCUAAUCAGAAAGCCACGGCUAACUACGUG
Molecule: ribosomal RNA, 497 nt
Filed under: uncultured bacterium
Lineage: Bacteria
Description: partial 16S ribosomal RNA
Rfam family: Bacterial small subunit ribosomal RNA
Source: RNAcentral